Molecule: small nuclear RNA, 100 nt
Filed under: Jaculus jaculus (lesser Egyptian jerboa)
Lineage: Eukaryota; Metazoa; Chordata; Mammalia; Rodentia; Dipodidae
Source: RNAcentral
GUGCUUGCUUUGGAAGCACAUAGAUUAAAAUUGAAUGAUACAGAGAUACAUAGCCCUGCACAAGGAUGACACACAAACUCGUGAAGUGAUAGAUAUAAUA